UAACCAGUGUGUUCUCGUGUGUCUCUGUAAAUCACAAAGUAGACUGAACUCUUUCCCACAUACAUCACAGUCAUGAGUUCUAUAACCAGUGUGUUCUCGUGUGUCUCUGUAAAUCACAAAGUAGACUGAACUCUUUCCCACAUACAUCACAGUCAUGAGUUCUAUAACCAGUGUGUUCUCGUGUGUCUCUGUAAAUCACAAAGUAGACUGAACUCUUUCCC
Long non-coding RNA from Mytilus californianus (California mussel), 221 nucleotides. RefSeq lists it as uncharacterized. NCBI's taxonomy places the organism in Eukaryota, Metazoa, Mollusca, Bivalvia, Mytilida, Mytilidae. The transcript has 3 exons. The record is from RefSeq and is a predicted model, not a curated record.